This 200-nucleotide ribosomal RNA is filed under the name uncultured bacterium. Its description in RNAcentral is "partial 16S ribosomal RNA". It matches the Rfam family "Bacterial small subunit ribosomal RNA", at positions 8 to 219 of the family's 1533-position model. The record is from RNAcentral.
AGAGUUUGAUCAUGGCUCAGAAUAAACGCUGGCGGCGUGCUUAACACAUGCAAGUCGAGCGAGAAAGCUUCUUCGGAAGUUAGUACAGCGGCGGACGGGUGAGUAACGCGUGAGAAUCUACCCUUUAGUGAAGAAUACCCUCGAGAAAUUGGGGUUAAUACUGCAUACGUCUCUUCGGAGAGAAAAGUGGCCUCUUUGCU